This is a long non-coding RNA of Ipomoea triloba (trilobed morning glory), 182 nucleotides long. RefSeq lists it as uncharacterized. NCBI's taxonomy places the organism in Eukaryota, Viridiplantae, Streptophyta, Magnoliopsida, Solanales, Convolvulaceae. The transcript has 3 exons. The record is from RefSeq and is a predicted model, not a curated record.
UCCUGUACUAUUCAAGCUUCCUUCCAGUGAAUUGCUUCUGUUCUAUAAGAUUGGGACAAAUGUUCAAAGUUGGAGCGGAUGCAUGAAGCGAUCUUAUGAUGGCGGUAUGACAUGGAAAGAGAGAGAACAGCUUCCCCCUGGUAUACUAGGACCAAUAAAGAACAAGCCUCUGUUACUGGAAA